CCUAACCUCCAACCACCAUAUCUUUUUCAUUUGGACACCGAUUUCGACUAAUCUUAUAUAAAAAUUCAUGCCGUCGUCGCGCCCAACAUUUUUGUCACCUUUGAAUCUCUGAACAACCACUGCACCAGGCAGAUUGAAGGCGAAGAAAUAAGUCACCUUCGCUGGAAAGUUCGAAUUUCCGGCCAAACUGACGGGAAAUGGGUCUCGGCCCAACAGAUAAAGUUGAUCCUCUCCUCACGGGCUUUCUACCUAUACUCGAUUUGUUGACUGGACGAGGAAUCGAAGCUCAGCUGCAAGUUAGGACAUGAAUACGGACGAAUUUUGGGUGCAAGGUCCUUCAGACAGUCUAGACACUUAAGAGAGCAUCCUCCUCACGACGAGGACAGAGCGGAGUUCCUGGUUUGGGUUGUGUGCUGAUGCAUCAUGGGAGAGUCAUUGCAUGUGCUUCCAAACAACUUAAAUCCCAUGAAAAGAUUUAUCCCAUUCAUGACCUGGAGUUAGCUGCAGUGGUAUUUGCUUUGAAGAUUUGGAGACAUUACCUCUACGAAGAAACAUGUCGUAUCUUCACAAAUCACAAAAGCUUCAAGUAUGUCUUCACUCGGAAGGAAUUGAAUAUGAGAUAGAUGAGGUGGAUGGAGCUGAUUAGUGAUUACAACUGCACCAUUGAGUAUCAUCCUGACAAAGUUGAUGUGGUGGUCAACGCUCUUAGUCGGAAAUCAUAUUGGCAAUUGACAUUUAUUCGUGCAAUUUAUAUUCCAUUGUUAAUAAAGUUGAGGAGCACGUGUGUGAUCUUCGUUGUAGAUUAUCAAGGAGCCUUACUAGCUUAUUUUUAGGUUAGACUUGUUCUUACCAAUAGAGUUCGAGAAGCUCAAGAUUAGGAUCCCCAGUGUGUGCAACUAAAGGGGGAAGUCCUCAGUGGAAUGAGAACAUAUCUCAUUGUCAGCAAAGAUGGGACUUUGAUGAUGGGUAGCAGACUUUUUGUACCAAAGGAGAAUGGUGAAUUAAAGAAGAGAUCCUAAUUCAGCUUA
Long non-coding RNA from Pyrus x bretschneideri (Chinese white pear), 1028 nucleotides. RefSeq lists it as uncharacterized. The record is from RefSeq and is a predicted model, not a curated record. The transcript is spliced from 4 exons. Lineage: Eukaryota; Viridiplantae; Streptophyta; Magnoliopsida; Rosales; Rosaceae.